This 245-nucleotide ribosomal RNA is filed under the name uncultured Pelolinea sp. RNAcentral's name for it is "partial 16S ribosomal RNA". It matches the Rfam family "Bacterial small subunit ribosomal RNA", at positions 524 to 768 of the family's 1533-position model. The record is from RNAcentral. Lineage: Bacteria; Bacillati; Chloroflexota; Anaerolineae; Anaerolineales; Anaerolineaceae.
AACGUAGGAGGCUAGCGUUAUUCGGAUUUAUUGGGCGUAAAGCGCGUGCAGGCGGUCUAGUAAGUUGGAUGUGAAAGCUCCUGGCUCAACCGGGAGACGUCGUUCAGAACUGCUAGACUAGAGAAUAGGAGAGGGAGGUGGAAUUCCGGGUGUAGUGGUGAAAUGCGUAGAUAUCCGGAGGAACACCAGUGGCGAAAGCGGCCUCCUGGACUAUUUCUGACGCUAAGACGCGAAAGCUAGGGUAG